Fukomys damarensis (Damara mole-rat) is the source of this 83-nucleotide small nucleolar RNA. The record is from Ensembl. Lineage: Eukaryota; Metazoa; Chordata; Mammalia; Rodentia; Bathyergidae.
AGCCUAUGAUGAAUUACCCUAAAUUCUGACACCUCGUAUGAGAACUGCAUGUGCAGUCUGAUUAUACUGCGAGACUGAGGCUU